Molecule: small RNA, 327 nt
Filed under: Mus pahari (shrew mouse)
Lineage: Eukaryota; Metazoa; Chordata; Mammalia; Rodentia; Muridae
Description: sRNA (MGP_PahariEiJ_G0008057.1)
Source: RNAcentral
AGAAAAAACUGAUCCUGCUCUUGUUCAAGAUCAUGACUUCAGCUUCCUGUCUGGCACCCCACUGAGUACCACAGUUGACCAGGUUAGGCUGAGGAGUAGGGUGUCUCCUUCCUUUCCCACUGUCCCAUAUAUGUCCCUCCAGAAGCUGGGUGCUCUUUGGAAAGGGAUGUGCUUCUGUGAUGGAGGUGUCUGCUUUAGUAGAGUAGACAGAUGGCUGUCCUCCCGUUAGAUCCUUCACACCGGGUCUCAAGGUCCAAAUGCGACCAUGCAUAGCAUCCCAUUCAUGGUUAAUGAUUCCAAAUAAGAUAAAGCUGAGAUGCUGCCUAU